CCUCCUCCCCCCUCCCCGCUCCCUCCCAUGGCGAACCCCGUCGCCUCCCCUCCCCGACCUUCCCGCCCCGCUGCCUCAACCCCCCCACCACCACGGCCUCCACCACCAAUCCGCCAUGCCGCCCUCGCUCCCCCUGCCGCCGCCACCUCCAUCGCCAUCUCCCUCUCCCUCCCUCUCCCCGAUCUCUGACCCAGCCACCACCCAUGGCGCCAGCCAGAGCAGCCACCAGCUAUGGCGACGGCGAAGCUAGAGGCUGUCGGAUCCGGGAUCAGGGCGGCGCAUAGCCCCUCCUCCCGUGAGAUCCUCUGCAUCGAGCAGCUCCUCCGCCCGCUGCACUGUCUCCCCAUCCGGAUCGAGCAGUUCCUCUUCGCCCGCUCUACCGACCCCCUCCAUCAGCCGUCGCUAUGCAGUACACUUCCACCGCUUCCGCCGCCUCCCAAGUCGUCGUCCUCCCGAUCCCCUCCCCUCCCCUUCCUCUGCUCCGGACACACCGUCUCCGUCGAGCCGGGCGCCCCAUCCACCUCUACGGGCGUCGGCGGCAUUGGUGUAUGAGCAUACAUGCGGAUCAUGGCCGGCACCAUCCUCGGCAGCGGCCACGGCUUCUACGUCAUGCACCGCAUCGAGACCUCCUACAAGGCAAGGAUGGAGGAGAGGCUGUGUCGAUGGCAAGCUGGAGUGCCUCUACCAUGGCUGGCAGUUCGAUGGCCAGGGCAAGUGCGUCAAGAUCCCACAGGUUAAUGGAGCAAUGAUGUGGUGGUAUAACAUAUCUGUGGCGGUUCUUCAAGCAGCUCUGCAAGUGGAGGAUCGCGUCCAGGGUAGAGGGAUCACAAGGACUGACAAGAUGCAGGGAAUGUGCCAACUUCCUUUGGCAAAAUCUUGCUACCUUGCCAUAGAUGGCUACUACCUUAUAGCCCAGUAUUCUACUGCUUUCUUCUAUAAUUUGUCACCCUCCACUUCCUUAGGCAAAAUUGAAAAUUAAGUUGCAGCAUUAAUUAGGUACUGCUAUAGUCUUUUUUAGACAUUUCUGCCUCCUUUUUCCCCUGUUUGCGCGAAAGAUCAUGUGUCCUUUCCAUUUGGAGUCUAUGUACGAAACACCAAUUAUCCAGUCCAUUUUUCACAAAAAGAUUAGUGUUCUUAUUUAGUCCUGAUGUUUUGGUUUAUGGAGUUGUUGAUUAUUUGGUCAGAUUUCCUUAGUUGCUUUGUGCAUGAGAAUAAGCUGAUAAGAACAGAACAUUGAUACUUUGCAUGCUAUUAGUAAAAUGAUUUAUUUUCUUUUGUCACCUUGUAUGAAUGAGUACCUCAUUUUAACUAGCUGGAGAACGAAGCAUUGUCAUAGCUGAAUUUGUGUUAUCAUUCUAAUGAACUUGUUCGUUUUCUGAAUGAAAUGUUCAUAAUAUAUUGGCUCCACAUUUUGACCUUACCUUCCAUUCCCUUCCCUGAUGUGCAGGAGCAGUUGCACGGCUGCAACAUCACCAACUCGACUCGGAUGCAGGGAGAGGAGACGCCUAGCUGCGGGGAAGCUGCAACUCUAGGUUAAGGCCUCCCUCUGCAUCUCCUUGUUUUGGUUUACUAGGCUUGGUCCCUGAUUUAGUGCUGCUCCAAAUUUGCUUACAUGCUUGAUUUCAUUGUUUGCCAAUUAAGUUGCUUGCUUGAUGCCCCAAAAUUCAGUAGAAUUUUGUUUAUCAAUUGGUUUGGUUGGAUUUCUCCCAAGUUAACUGAAGUUGUUACAAAAUAGGUGGUUGUUGUCCAAUUUGUUCAGUAGAAUAAAAAUUGAUGGUUGGCAUGUUUUGUUUGCUAUCUUUCAUCUCACCUUGUGUUGUCAAAGUUUAUCUUCUCUUGUCAAGGUUUUCACUGUGGUAACUAUUAAUUUGGAAGAUAAAGUGAUGGCCAAUUAUAUGUAUAUAUCCACACAACAAAUAUACCGUGUUGUAUUAUGCUUAUGCUACUUGUAUCACCAGUGUUUUCUAACUCUAGCACCUAUGUAUUUCUUUACUGUCUUGCCUAACCCUGUAUUGAUAUGUAUGUUUGCUCAAAAUUAAGUACAAGUUAGGCCGCCAUGUUAAGGCUAACCUGAGAACACUUACUCUCUCUCUCUCUAUAUAUAUAUAUAUCUUUAUUAAGCUCGGCUAACCUUAUAGAUGUUGUCCUUCUUUCAUCUGCAGGACAAUAUCAUGCAUAUGUUUAUUUGGUUUGAUCUUUGUAUGUGUUUAUUCAGUUUGAACUCUACAUGACAUGAACGCACGGAUGCAACGGUGGCAAGAAGAUCAUGGCUGUGUGCAUCAUCAAGCACACCAUGGCGAUAAUUCACCUCCUCACAGAUGCUAACUCAAUCCAAAUCAUCGUGAUGCUAUCAUCCUUAGUCCUGACAAGAGUAGGUGCCUACUUUGUGAUUGUUAUCGAAGGAGCUCCAUGCUGAAGAACAUAGCUUGUAACUGUAUCUAGUUGUUACACAUGUGGAGCUUGUAACUGUGAUUGCCAUACUUGUAGAGCUUGUAGCUAGUUAUUACACUUGUAGAGCUUCUGGAGAAUGUUUGGAGUAUCACGUGCAGAGCUUGUAUAUGUUAGAGCUUAUUAUGUGUAGAGCUUGUAAAGUAUAUGUUAUUUGUACAAUAGGAGCUCUAUUGAAUCUGGCUGAUAAUAUUUGGAGUAUUA
Triticum urartu is the source of this 2652-nucleotide long non-coding RNA. RefSeq lists it as uncharacterized. The record is from RefSeq and is a predicted model, not a curated record. NCBI's taxonomy places the organism in Eukaryota, Viridiplantae, Streptophyta, Magnoliopsida, Poales, Poaceae.